This 75-nucleotide transfer RNA is filed under the name Clostridium sp. RNAcentral describes it as "tRNA-Glu". It matches the Rfam family "tRNA". From Rfam's summary of the family: Transfer RNA (tRNA) molecules are approximately 80 nucleotides in length. Their secondary structure includes four short double-helical elements and three loops (D, anti-codon, and T loops). Lineage: Bacteria; Bacillati; Bacillota; Clostridia; Eubacteriales; Clostridiaceae. RNAcentral also lists the same sequence under 5 other names. The record is from RNAcentral.
GGCCCCUUGGUCAAGUGGUUAAGACAUCGCCCUUUCACGGCGGUAACAUGGGUUCGAACCCCGUAGGGGUCACCA